This 77-nucleotide transfer RNA is filed under the name Pseudomonas phage O4. Its description in RNAcentral is "tRNA-Arg". The record is from RNAcentral. Lineage: Duplodnaviria; Heunggongvirae; Uroviricota; Caudoviricetes; Zobellviridae.
UGGCGUUCCGUACAGGAUUCGAACCUGUAACCCACAGCUUAGAAGGCUGUAGCUCUAUCCUAUUGAGCUAACGGAAC